CGCUAUCACUCCUACGGGGAGGCAGCAGUAGGGAAUCUUACCACAAUGGGCGCAAGCCUGAUGGAGCAACACCGCGUGAGUGAAGAAGGGUUUCGGCUCGUAAAGCUCUGUUGUUUAAAGAAGAACACGUAUGAGAGUAACUGUUCAUACGUUGACGGUAUUUAACCAGAAAGUCACGGCUAACUACGUGCCAGCAGCCGCGGUAAUACGUAGGUGGCAAGCGUUAUCCGGAUUUAUUGGGCGUUAAAGAGAGUGCAGGCGGUUUUCUAAGUCUGAUGUGAAAGCCUUCGGCUUAACCGGAGAAGUGCAUCGGAAACUGGAUAACUUGAGUGCAGAAGAGGGUAGUGGAACUCCAUGUGUAGCGGUGGAAUGCGUAGAUAUAUGGAAGAACACCAGUGGCGAAGGCGGCUACCUGGUCUGCAACUGACGCUGAGACUCGAAAGCAUGGGUAGCGAACAGGAUUAGAUACCCUGGUAG
RNAcentral lists this ribosomal RNA (477 nucleotides) under uncultured bacterium. RNAcentral's name for it is "bacterial SSU rRNA". It matches the Rfam family "Bacterial small subunit ribosomal RNA", at positions 328 to 793 of the family's 1533-position model. The record is from RNAcentral.